CCUACGGGAGGCAGCAGUAGGGAAUUUUCGGCAAUGGGGGGAACCCUGACCGAGCAACGCCGCGUGAACGAAGACGUUAUUCGUAAUGUAAAGUUCUUUUAACAGGGAAGAAAGAGAAAUUUGACGGUACCUGAAGAAUAAGCUCCGGCUAACUACGUGCCAGCAGCCGCGGUAAUACGUAGGGAGCGUGCGUUAUCCGGAAUUAUUGGGCGAAAAGGGUGCGUAGAUGGCAUAGUAAGUCUUUUGUAAAAAUGCUGGGCUCAACCCAGUAGGGCAAAAGAUACUGCAAAGCUAGAGUAUGACAGAGGCAAGUGGAACUACAUGUGUAGCGGUAAAAUGCGUAAAUAUAUGUAAGAACACCAGUGGCGAAGGCGGCUUGCUGGGUCGAUACUGACAUUGAGGCACGAAAGCGUGGGGAGCAAACAGGAUUAGAUACCCUAGUAGUC
RNAcentral lists this ribosomal RNA (446 nucleotides) under uncultured bacterium. RNAcentral's name for it is "partial 16S ribosomal RNA". It matches the Rfam family "Bacterial small subunit ribosomal RNA", at positions 338 to 795 of the family's 1533-position model. The record is from RNAcentral.